GGAAGGGCACCACCAGGAGUGGAGCCUGCGGCUGAAUUUGAAACACGGGAAAUCUCACCAGGCCCGGACACCGGUAGGAUUGACAGAUUGAGAGCUCUUUCUUGAUUCGGUGGGUGGUGGUGCAUGGCCGUUCGGUAGUUGGUGGAGCGAUUUGUCCGGUUAAUUCCAAGAAAGAACGAGACUCUGGCCUAUUUAUUAGACGUUAGAUCCCUUCGUGGGUCUAUCACAGCUUCUUAGAGGGACGGGCGGCAUUUAGCCGCAUGAGAUUGAGCAAUAACAGGUCUGUGAUGCCUUUAGAUGUCCGGGGCCGCACGCGCGCUACACUGAAGUGAUCAGCGUGCUUUUUCAACCUACUCUGUCAAGAGUGGGGAACCCAAUGAACCUUCUUCGUGAUUGGGAUAGGGGAUUGUAAUUGUUCCCCUUGAACGAGGAAUUCCCAGUAAGCGCGAGUCAUAAGCUCGCGUUGAUUACGUCCCUGCCCUUUGUACACACCGCCCGUCGCUACUACCGAUUGAAUGU
This 519-nucleotide ribosomal RNA is filed under the name uncultured eukaryote. RNAcentral's name for it is "bacterial SSU rRNA". It matches the Rfam family "Eukaryotic small subunit ribosomal RNA", at positions 1158 to 1696 of the family's 1831-position model. The record is from RNAcentral.